Long non-coding RNA from Zonotrichia leucophrys gambelii, 315 nucleotides. RefSeq lists it as uncharacterized. The record is from RefSeq and is a predicted model, not a curated record. The transcript is spliced from 3 exons. Lineage: Eukaryota; Metazoa; Chordata; Aves; Passeriformes; Passerellidae.
AGAAUGUGAUCAUCUUUGUGAUCUUACUUCUAAGUAAAAUGAAUCAUAGUUUUGAGCCAAGAAGCUUUCUCCUCAGGAAACAGCACUGAAGAACAGCAAGCUUCAAUGAGAACGUAUAAGUACCUUCAAAUAAUCCAAAAGAAAGAAGAAAUCAGAAUAGCUUUUGAAUAGCUCUACGUAUGUGUAGAAGUGGUUGCAAAAAUAUUUCUCAGCAAAGCAGAAUUUUGUGCCAACUAUUCUUGUUCAGAAAGAAAAAAAAGCUUUCAGUAAGACUUGAAAAGCCACAAGAAAGAUAGAAACCAAGCCAGAAAGGAC